GUUGGUGGGGAGAGAAGAGUGGCAGGGAGAGGGAGACAGGUUGGUGGGGAGAGAAGAGUGGCAGGGAGAGGGAGACAGGUUGGUGGGGAAAGAAGAGUGGCAGGGAGAGGGAGAGGGAGACAGGUUGGUGGGGGAAGAAGAGUGGCAGGGAGACAGGUUGGUGGGGGAGAGAAGAGUGGCAGGGAGAGGGAGACAGGUUGGUGGGGAAAGAAGAGUGUCAGGGAGAGGGAGACAGGUUGGUGGGGAGAGAAGAGUGGCAGGGAGAGGGAGACAGGUUGGUGGGGAGAGAAGAGUGGCAGGGAGAGGGAGACAGGUUGGUGGGGGAAGAAGAGAGGCAGGGAGAGGGAGACAGGUUGGUGAGGGAAGGAGAGUGGCAGGGAGAGGGAGACAGGUUGGUGGAGAGAGAAGAGUGGCAGGGAGAGGGAGACAGGUUGGUGGGGAAAGAAGAGUGUCAGGGAGAGGGAGACAGGUUGGUGGGGAGAGAAGAGUGGCAGGGAGAGGGAGACAGGUUGGUGGGGAGAGAAGAGUGGCAGGGAGAGGGAGACAGGUUGGUGGGGGAAAGAAGAGUGGCAGGGAGAGGGAGACAGGUUGGUGGGGGAGAGAAGAGUGGCAGGAGAGGGAGACAGGUUGGUGGGGGAGAGAAGAGUGGCAGGGAGAGGGAGACAGGUUGGUGGGGGAAGAAGAGUGGCAGGGAGAGGGAGACAGGUUGGUGGGGGAGAGAAGAGUGGCAGGGAGAGGGAGACAGGUUGGUGGGGGAGAGAAGAGUGGCAGGGAGACAGGUUGGUGGGGAAAGAAGAGUGGCAGGGAGAGGGAGACAGGUUGGUGGGGAAAGAAGAGUGGCAGGGAGAGGGAGACAGGUUGGUGGGGGAAGAAGAGUGGCAGGGAGAGGGAGACAGGUUGGUGGGGAGAGAAGAGUGUCAGGGAGAGGGAGACAGGUUGGUGGGGGGAAGAAGAGUGGCAGGGAGAGGGAGACAGGUUGGUGGGGGGAAGAAGAGUGUCAGGGAGAGGGAGACAGUGUGGAGGACAACGGAGAGGAAGACCAAGAGAAGUGGUCACUGACGAGAUGAGGGCCACAAUUAUUGACCGUGUUGUAAACCAUGGUCUGUCCUUGAGAGACGGUUUAAGGGUGCAACCAAAUCUGCAGCGUUGUACAGGCUUUUCCGGC
Molecule: long non-coding RNA, 1165 nt
Organism: Oncorhynchus tshawytscha (Chinook salmon)
Lineage: Eukaryota; Metazoa; Chordata; Actinopteri; Salmoniformes; Salmonidae
Source: Ensembl